This 747-nucleotide ribosomal RNA is filed under the name uncultured bacterium. RNAcentral describes it as "bacterial SSU rRNA". It matches the Rfam family "Bacterial small subunit ribosomal RNA", at positions 8 to 765 of the family's 1533-position model. The record is from RNAcentral.
AGAGUUUGAUCCUGGCUCAGAACGAACGCUGGUGGCGUGCUUAACACAUGCAAGUCGAACGAGAAAGUUUCCUUCGGGAAAUUAGUAAAGUGGCGCAAGGGUGAGUAUCACGUGAAUAAUCUGCCCUCGAGGUCGGGAUAACAUGGUGAAAACUAUGCUAAUACCGGAUAAGACCACAUUUCAUAAGAAAUGCGGUAAAAGGAGUCUCAAUCUUCACUCGAGGAUGAGUUCGCGCAACAUUAGCUUGUUGGUGAGAUAAAAGCUCACCAAGGCUACGAUGUUUAGCCGGCCUGAGAGGGUGAACGGCCACACUGGAACUGAGACACGGUCCAGACUCCUACGGGAGGCAGCAGUGGGGAAUAUUGCGCAAUGGGCGAAAGCCUGACGCAGCAACGCCGUGUGAGCGAUGAAGGCUUUAGAGUCGUAAAGCUCUGUCAAAUGGGAAGAAUUUUGACGGUACCAUUAGAGGAAGCCCCGGCUAACUCCGUGCCAGCAGCCGCGGUAAUACGGAGGGGGCAAGCGUUGUUCGGAAUUAUUGGGCGUAAAGCGUGUGUAGGCGGUUAAGUAAGUCAGGCGUGCAAGCCCGUGGCUCAACCACGGAAUUGCGUUUGAAACUAUUUAGCUUGAGUACAGGAGAGGAAAGUGGAAUUCCCAGUGUAGCGGUGAAAUGCAUUGAUAUUGGGAAGAACAUCUGUGGCGAAGGCGGCUUUCUGGUCUGUUACUGACGCUGAGAUACGAAAGCCAGGG